GCUCAGAUGGCCUAGUGGAUAGAGCGCCCGCUUCUGAUGCAGAGGGUCGCGGGUUCGAUCCCAGGCUGAGCC
Molecule: non-coding RNA, 72 nt
Organism: Potamilus streckersoni
Lineage: Eukaryota; Metazoa; Mollusca; Bivalvia; Unionida; Unionidae
Source: the annotation of a GenBank genome assembly